Molecule: non-coding RNA, 28 nt
Filed under: Mus musculus (house mouse)
Lineage: Eukaryota; Metazoa; Chordata; Mammalia; Rodentia; Muridae
Source: RNAcentral
UCCACUGAACUUGUUCAUGCAACAGUUA